CCGAACCAGGGCACGUUGAAAAGUGCUUGGAUGACUUGUGGGUAGCGGAGAAAUUCCAAACGAACUUGGAGAUAGCUGGUUCUCUCCGAAAUAGCUUUAGGGCUAGCGUCGAUGUUAAGUCUCUUGGAGGUAGAGCACUGUUUGAUUGAGGGGUCCAUCCCGGAUUACCAAUAUCAGAUAAACUCCGAAUGCCAAUGAGAUAUAAUCGGCAGUCAGACUGCGAGUGCUAAGAUCCGUAGUCGAAAGGGAAACAGCCCAGACCACCAGCUAAGGUCCCAAAAUAUAUGUUAAGUGGAAAAGGAUGUGGGGUUGCACAGACAACUAGGAUGUUAGCUUAGAAGCAGCUAUUCAUUCAAAGAGUGCGUAAUAGCUCACUAGUCGAGUGACCCUGCGCCGAAAAUGUACCGGGGCUAAAACAUAUUACCGAAGCUGUGGAUACCUAUUAUAGGUAUGGUAGGAGAGCGUUCUAUGUGUGAAGAAGGUGUACCGUGAGGAGCGCUGGAACGCAUAGAAGUGAGAAUGCCGGUAUGAGUAGCGAAAGACAGGUGAGAAUCCUGUCCACCGUAAGACUAAGGUUUCCAGGGGAAGGCUCGUCCGCCCUGGGUUAGUCGGGACCUAAGGAGAGACCGAAAGGUGUAUCCGAUGGCCAACAGGUUGAUAUUCCUGUACUAGAGUAUAUAGUGAAGGAGGGACGCAGUAGGCUAACUAAAGCGUGCGAUUGGAAGAGCACGUCUAAGCAGUGAGGUGUGAUAUGAGUCAAAUGCUUGUAUCUCUAACAUUGAGCUGUGAUGGGGAGCGAAGUUAAGUAGCGAAGUUAGUGAUGUCACACUGCCAAGAAAAGCUUCUAGCGUUAAUUAUACUCUACCCGUACCGCAAACCGACACAGGUAGUCGAGGCGAGUAGCCUCAGGUGAGCGAGAGAACUCUCGUUAAGGAACUCGGCAAAAUGGCCCCGUAACUUCGGGAGAAGGGGCGCUGGCUUUAAGUCAGCCGCAGUGAAUAGGCCCAAGCAACUGUUUAUCAAAAACACAGCUCUCUGCUAAAUCGUAAGAUGAUGUAUAGGGGGUGACGCCUGCCCGGUGCUGGAAGGUUAAGAGGAGCGCUUAGCGUAAGCGAAGGUGUGAAUUGAAGCCCCAGUAAACGGCGGCCGUAACUAUAACGGUCCUAAGGUAGCGAAAUUCCUUGUCGGGUAAGUUCCGACCCGCACGAAAGGCGUAAUGAUUUGGGCACUGUCUCAACGAGAGACUCGGUGAAAUUUUAGUACCUGUGAAGAUGCAGGUUACCCGCGACAGGACGGAAAGACCCCAUGGAGCUUUACUGCAGUUUGAUAUUGAGUAUCUGUACCACAUGUACAGGAUAGGUAGGAGCCUAUGAAAUCGGGACGCUAGUUUCGGUGGAGGCGUUGUUGGGAUACUACCCUUGUGUUAUGGCUACUCUAACCUAGAUAGGUGAUCCCUAUCGGAGACAGUGUCUGACGGGCAGUUUGACUGGGGCGGUCGCCUCCUAAAAGGUAACGGAGGCGCCCAAAGGUUCCCUCAGAAUGGUUGGAAAUCAUUCGCAGAGUGUAAAGGUAUAAGGGAGCUUGACUGCGAGAGCUACAACUCGAGCAGGGACGAAAGUCGGGCUUAGUGAUCCGGUGGUUCCGCAUGGAAGGGCCAUCGCUCAACGGAUAAAAGCUACCCUGGGGAUAACAGGCUUAUCUCCCCCAAGAGUUCACAUCGACGGGGAGGUUUGGCACCUCGAUGUCGGCUCGUCGCAUCCUGGGGCUGUAGUCGGUCCCAAGGGUUGGGCUGUUCGCCCAUUAAAGCGGCACGCGAGCUGGGUUCAGAACGUCGUGAGACAGUUCGGUCCCUAUCCGUCGCGGGCGUAGGAAAUUUGAGAGGAUCUGCUCCUAGUACGAGAGGACCAGAGUGGACUUACCGCUGGUGUACCAGUUGUCUUGCCAAAGGCAUCGCUGGGUAGCUAUGUAGGGAAGGGAUAAACGCUGAAAGCAUCUAAGUGUGAAGCCCACCUCAAGAUGAGAUUUCCCAUGAUUUAAUAUCAGUAAGAGCCCUGAGAGAUGAUCAGGUAGAUAGGUUAGGAGUGGAAGUGUGGUGACACAUGUAGCGGACUAAUACUAAUAGCUCGAGGACUUAUCCAA
RNAcentral lists this ribosomal RNA (2139 nucleotides) under human gut metagenome. RNAcentral describes it as "bacterial LSU rRNA". It matches the Rfam family "Bacterial large subunit ribosomal RNA", at positions 774 to 2925 of the family's 2925-position model. The record is from RNAcentral.